AGGGAGGCGGCGGCGCUCCGCGUGUGAAACGGCGCUCAGAAAUGAACGGCGACACAGUGGCUUCAUUGUUCGGCGGCGGGGGAAACUGAGGCCGGAGGGCGGCCGCCGGGUGACUGGAGGCUGGGUCACCACGCUCCCAGAGUGAAUGGGCAUUGGUCAGUGGGGCUUGCGGCCCUAUCUCCCCAGGGAGGGAGAAGAUCUGGGGAGGCAUGCCCCCAUCCCCAAGCCAAUGAGCUCCGGAAGCUCCUCCUGGAAAAGCUAAUUAUUGAGGAACAUUUUUAAGGCUCUUGAUUCAAAUCGUCUGCUGCUGUCCAGAAAGAUGACACCAACUUACACAUCCGAUAAGAAUGGAUGAAAUUAAAAUUCUGGGCCGGACGCGGUGGCUCACGCCUGUAAUCCCAGCACUUUGGGAGGCCAAGGCGGGCGGAUCACGAGGUCAGGAGAUCGAGACCAUCCUGGCUAAUGCGGUGAAACCCCGUCUCUACUAAAAAUACAAAAAAUUAGAUGGGCAUGGUGGCGGGCGCCUGUAGUCCCAGCUACUUGGGAGGCUGAGGCAGGAGAAUGGCAUGAACCCGGGAGGCGGAGCUUGCAGUGAGCCGAGAUUGUGCCACUGCACUCCAGCCUGGGUGACAGAGCGAGACUUGGUCUCAAAAAAAAAAAAAAAGAAAAGAAAAGAAAAGAAAUUAAAAUUCUGAAGUUUGCAUACCUAACUGUUCACUUACGGUAUCUCACAGUCUAAUUAAUUCAUAGCCACAUGCAUAGAGUUUAUUGCAUUUGCAACUAUGCAGCAUCAAAUUGUUGCAAAGGGACCUCUGGAAAGGACUGUCCUUCCUCCCAAUGUGUAUGUGUGUAUGUACAUGUAAUACAUGUACAUAUAAUGAAGAUUACAUACAUGUAUAAUUGUAUUAUAUACAUAUAUAAUUGUAUACGUAUAUAAUACAUUUAUAUAAUCUUCAAUUAUAUGUAUAUGUAUUAUAUAUACAUACAUACACAUUGGGAAGGAUAUAUAUAUAAUUGAAGAUACAGAAUUGAAGAUGAGUAUAUUUAAUAUUUAUCAAAGGGUAAAGGCGCUCAUCCGCAGUUUGGAUCAGAGCCUCAAAAUCUAAAUUCAUGCCACGAAUAGCGUUUUUCAGAUGUUGACUUCCUAGGAUCCUAUUCUUUUAAACCUGAUUCAAUUUUUGUGCCUAUCAAGACAGACACCAAAGAUUUUAUUUAGGAGGAAAUAUGUGGUAUUCUUUUUAAACUUUUCCAGAGACAUCACUUAUGUGAUCUUACUUGGUUUCUACAACAUUCCCAGCCCCAGGAGGCAGGCAGAGUGAUAUUGCCAAUCACAUUUUUGUAGACACAGGCUCAGAGAAGUGACAUUACCUGCUAGAUGUCACACAGCCCAUCUGGGACCCCAGGGCUCAAGCCCCUGCCCUCUGGCCCUGAGUCCUGCCUCUGUCUGUGGACUCCCAGCUCUUGCUGUUGCUAGAGUGUGCUGCUCCUUUACUUGGCAUGUCCACAUUCCUGGGUUGUCCAGGAACGCACAUUCUUGGAGAGGAAGGGGAAUAGAUAUUUUAGCCACAUACAACACUCUGAGCUUGCCAGGCACCUAAUAGGGACACUCAAUAAAUAUUAAUUAAAGAAUGCAGCCACAUUGGCUUAUGUGCUGGCCAGAUCCUUUAAAGUGUCAAGAAUAUUCCUUGAGAGACUGAGUGUUAGGCUGGAAGGCUGUGUGGAGGCGGAGAGGACAGAAAAGUCCUGGAGUAAUGGAGUGCAUUCUCUUGGAAGAUGAAAAUAUCCACCCGCCCCAGGGGGCCCCUAUCUGUCACUGUCACCAGGAGAGAAGGAGGAAGGGAACAUAUGUCUGUUGAGUGCCUCUGGGACCUGUAUUUUUCUUGCUGGGGUGGGAUUUAUUCCGCUUCUCCCGUACUCCUGCAUCUCCAAGGCCAGUGGAGGACACCAGGGGACAGCUGGCUGAGAUCAAGGAUUAACGUCAAGGAAUUUCUUCAUCGUCUCCAUCAUCAAAUUCUACUUAACAUGCUCUGCCCAUUCCAAGAAAAAAAGAGGAAUGAAUGUGAACUCUUUUUGUACAUACAGCCAUUUACUCAAAAAAUGCAGCCGGCAGAGAUUCCACAGCUGGGAAGCUGACUGGUUGCAGUAGAGAAGCUGGCCAAAAUCCACCAAGAUGGCGACAAGAGUGACCUCUGGUCAUCCUCACUGUUACACUCCCACCAGCGCCAUGACAGUUUGCAGAUUCCAGGUAAUGUCAGGAAAUUACCCUAUAUGGUCUAAAAAAAGGGGACACAUGAAUAAUCCACGCCUUGUUUAGCAUGUCAUUAAGAAAUAACCAUAAAAAUGGGCAACCAGCAGCCCUUGGGGCUGCUCUGUCUAUGGAGUAGCUGUUCUUUUAUUCCUUUACUUACUUUUUUUUUUUUUUUUUUUUGAGAUGGAGUCUUGCUCUGUCACCCAGGCUGGAGUGCAGUGGCGCGAUCUCAGCUCACUGCAACCUCUGCCACCCAGGUUCAAGCGAUUCUCCUGCCUCAGCCUCCCGAGUAGCUGGGACUGCAGGCGUGUGCCACCAUGCCCGCCUAGUUUUUCAUUUUCUUUUUAGUAGAGACAGGGUGUCACCGUGUUAGCUAGGAUGGUCUCCAUCUCCUGACCUGGUGAUCCGCCCGCCUCCGCCUCCCAAAGUGCUGGGAUAACAGACGUGAGUCAUCGUGCCCUGCCAUUUCUUUACUUUCUUAAUAAACUUGCUUUCACUUUGCACUGUGGACUUGCCCUGAAUUCUUUCUUAUGCGAGAUCCAAAGAACUCUCUCUUGUGGUCUGGCUCGGGACCACUUUCUUGUAACAGGAGGAAGAUGGCCUAUCUGGGACCUAAUGAGCUCAGGGUGCCUUUGAGAUAUUGACCAGGCAAGUGGGACUGGAGAGCAAAGCAGAGACCUAAUUUUUUUUUUUUUUUUUUGAGAUGGAGUCUCACUCUGUCACCCAGGCUGGAGUGCAGUGGCGCGAUCUCGGCUCACUGCAACCUCCGCCUCCCAGGUUCAAGCGAUUCUCCUGCCUCAGCCUCCCAAGUAGCUGGGACUACAGGCACGUGCUACCACACCCAGCUAAUUUGUUGUAUUUUUAGUAGAGAUGGCGUUUCACCAUGUUGGCCAGGAUGGUCUCGAUCUCCUGACCCUGUGAUGCUCCUGCCUCGGCCUCCCAAAGUGCUGGGAUUACAGGCGUGAGCCAUCGCGCCGAGCCGAGGCCUGUUCAUGUUCUGCCUCUUUGGCUGUAAUGGUGGCUGCCUAUGAGAGGCAUGGGUGGCUGGCAGCCCAGGUAGAAGGAAGCCUUAUCUUUUUCUUCCUCCCCUUUUGUAUUCUUGGAAUUGUGUACCAUUGUGCAUGCAUUGCCUAUUCAAAAA
This 3389-nucleotide long non-coding RNA is filed under the name Homo sapiens (human). Its description in RNAcentral is "non-protein coding lnc-SMAD7-1:3". Lineage: Eukaryota; Metazoa; Chordata; Mammalia; Primates; Hominidae. The record is from RNAcentral.